This 492-nucleotide ribosomal RNA is filed under the name uncultured bacterium. Its description in RNAcentral is "partial 16S ribosomal RNA". It matches the Rfam family "Bacterial small subunit ribosomal RNA", at positions 29 to 507 of the family's 1533-position model. The record is from RNAcentral.
AGUGAACGCUGGCGGUAGGCCUAACACAUGCAAGUCGAACGGCAGCACAGUAAGAGCUUGCUCUUACGGGUGGCGAGUGGCGGACGGGUGAGGAAUACAUCGGAAUCUACUUUUUCGGGGGGGAUAACGUAGGGAAACUUACGCUAAUACCGCAUACGACCUACGGGUGAAAGCAGGGGAUCUUCGGACCUUGCGCGAUUGAAUGAGCCGAUGUCGGAUUAGCUAGUUGGCGGGGGAAAGGCCCACCAAGGCGACGAUCCGUAGCUGGUCUGAGAGGAUGAUCAGCCACACUGGAACUGAGACACGGUCCAGACUCCUACGGGAGGCAGCAGUGGGGAAUAUUGGACAAUGGGCGCAAGCCUGAUCCAGCCAUACCGCGUGGGUGAAGAAGGCCUUCGGGUUGUAAAGCCCUUUUGUCGGGAAAGAAAAGCAGCAGGUUAAUACCCCGCUGUUCUGACGGUACCCAAAGAAUAAGCACCGGCUAACUUCGUG